AGGCCCAUGCAGUGGAAUCACACCAAAAUGCAAAUUUGGAGAAGCACCCCAAUAAGGGUGCCGGGGCUUC
RNAcentral lists this transfer RNA (70 nucleotides) under Afrogecko porphyreus. Its description in RNAcentral is "tRNA-Cys". The record is from RNAcentral. Lineage: Eukaryota; Metazoa; Chordata; Lepidosauria; Squamata; Gekkonidae.